UCUUUCAUAUGGUGUGAAUGGAGCCUUAUA
Molecule: non-coding RNA, 30 nt
Filed under: Mus musculus (house mouse)
Lineage: Eukaryota; Metazoa; Chordata; Mammalia; Rodentia; Muridae
Source: RNAcentral